This 484-nucleotide ribosomal RNA is filed under the name uncultured bacterium. Its description in RNAcentral is "bacterial SSU rRNA". It matches the Rfam family "Bacterial small subunit ribosomal RNA", at positions 33 to 507 of the family's 1533-position model. The record is from RNAcentral.
GACGACGCUGGCGGCGUGGAUUAGGCAUGCAAGUCGAACGGUAUCAUCCUUCGGGGGUGAGAGAGUGGCGAACUGGUGAGUAACACGUAGGUUAUCUACCCUCAAGACGGGGACAACCCAGGGAAACUUGGGCUAAUACCGGAUGUGAGCAACUUUAGUUGUUUGAAAGGUGGCGUAAGCUGUCGCUUGGGGAUGAGCCUGCGUCCUAUUAGUUAGUUGGUGAGGUAACGGCUCACCUAGGCAAUGAUAGGUAGGCGGCCUUAACGGGUGGUCGCCCACACUGGGAUUGAGAUACGGCCCAGACUCCUACGGGAGGCAGCAGUCGAGAAUAGUCUACAAUGGUCGGAAGACUGAUAGUGCGACGCCGCGUGAACGAUGAAUCCCUUCGGGGUGUAAAGUUCUUUUAUAUGUGAGCAGUGCUUCUUAUAUUAACAGUAUGGGGAGAGAGAUAUUAGCAUAUGAAUAAGCAACGGCUAACUCCGUG